Molecule: microRNA precursor, 84 nt
Filed under: Gorilla gorilla gorilla (western lowland gorilla)
Lineage: Eukaryota; Metazoa; Chordata; Mammalia; Primates; Hominidae
Description: mir-548 microRNA precursor family
Rfam family: mir-548 microRNA precursor family
Source: Rfam by way of RNAcentral
UAUUAGGUUGGUGCAAAAGCAAUUGCAGUUUUUGCCAUUACUUUUAAUGGCAAAAACCGCAAUUACUUUUGCACCAAUCUAAUA